GUAGUCCACGCCGUAAACGAUGGAUACUAGCUGUUCGGGGCAACCUGAGUGGCUAAGCGAAAGUGAUAAGUAUCCCACCUGGGGAGUACGUUCGCAAGAAUGAAACUCAAAGGAAUUGACGGGGGCCCGCACAAGCGGUGGAGCAUGUGGUUUAAUUCGAUGAUACGCGAGGAACCUUACCAGGGCUUAAAUGUAGUGGGACAGGCUUGGAAACAGGCCCUUCUUCGGACUCAUUACAAGGUGCUGCAUGGUUGUCGUCAGCUCGUGCCGUGAGGUGUCAGGUUAAGUCCUAUAACGAGCGCAACCCCUGUCGUUAGUUGCCAGCGAGUCAUGUCGGGAACUCUAACGAGACUGCCAGUGCAAACUGAGA
RNAcentral lists this ribosomal RNA (370 nucleotides) under uncultured bacterium. RNAcentral describes it as "bacterial SSU rRNA". It matches the Rfam family "Bacterial small subunit ribosomal RNA", at positions 790 to 1167 of the family's 1533-position model. The record is from RNAcentral.